UGCUAGACCUGUUAAACCUUGGGUGCACCGGGUCAUUGUCAUCUAUCGAGAGGUUUGGUGAGUCAUUUCUGUAAAAGGUUUCCAGAGUUUAACAGUUUGUGCAUUGCGCUAGUGGGAAGUGGAAGCUAACAGCUCAUACUUAUAGUAAAGAGUGAUUCUAUCGAGUAGCUCUGUUCGGGAAGGGCAUCUGGUGGAUUUCCAGUUUUGGGCUAUGAGGUGUCGUGCUGCUAAUAUCA
This is a non-coding RNA of Pelobates cultripes (western spadefoot toad), 236 nucleotides long. Lineage: Eukaryota; Metazoa; Chordata; Amphibia; Anura; Pelobatidae. The record is from the annotation of a GenBank genome assembly.